Molecule: long non-coding RNA, 679 nt
Organism: Sapajus apella (tufted capuchin)
Lineage: Eukaryota; Metazoa; Chordata; Mammalia; Primates; Cebidae
Exons: 3
Source: RefSeq, a predicted model, not a curated record
CAAAAAAAAAAAAAAAAAGUGUAGCCCUGGGGUCAUCUGUCCUAUUAACCCUGUAGGGUAGUGUUUGGUGGGAAAGAUAAACAAUUGAACGGAAUAGUGCAGGUCUAUGUGAACUAGUUGGCUGUGAGAAAUGGCUUGUUCUUUUUCCACAAUUUCCCUUUUUGCUGCAGGGGUUAGAUAUUUGGGAGAAUCCAGGUCAGCAUUGCCUUUUAAGAUAAAAAAGAGGUUUUGCAACUCUGGGGCACAGUAAGUCCAGUCCUGCACUACCAGUGGUGGAUGCUCUGAGAGAGAGGUCCAUGGGUUUUACAUCUGUCCAAGGAAAGCCACUGGCAUUGCCCCACUUGGGAGCGGGGCCUGAGAUGGGCCCCUCAUGAAGUUUCCUAUCUGAUUACUUAGAAGUUUGCCAUUUUUAUAAAAUCUGGACUUGCAUUGACUCGACCAAUGUUUCUCAUAAGCCAAUUGCAACAAUAAGAUAUCAGUAACUUGGAUGUGACUAAUUUGUUGUUUAAUUGCCUAGGUUAACAGAUUGAUAAACUCAACAAAUGGCUCUUUGUUGAAUAUGUAGAAAAGAUACCUGCUGAGUUCCACUUUUGGGAAUUCAGUCCCAAGCCCUGAGAGUACACAAAAACACUUGUGCAUAGGCCUGGGGAUCAAAAUCAAGUUGUGCAUUGGCAGGGGG